RNAcentral lists this ribosomal RNA (460 nucleotides) under uncultured bacterium. Its description in RNAcentral is "partial 16S ribosomal RNA". It matches the Rfam family "Bacterial small subunit ribosomal RNA", at positions 338 to 795 of the family's 1533-position model. The record is from RNAcentral.
CCUACGGGUGGCAGCAGUGAGGAAUAUUGGUCAAUGGACGAGAGUCUGAACCAGCCAAGUAGCGUGAAGGAUGACUGCCCUAUGGGUUGUAAACUUCUUUUAUAUGGGAAUAAAAUGUUCCACGUGUGGGAUUUUGUAUGUACCAUAUGAAUAAGGAUCGGCUAACUCCGUGCCAGCAGCCGCGGUAAGACGGAGGAUCCGAGCGUUAUCCGGAUUUAUUGGGUUUAAAGGGAGCGUAGGUGGAUUGUUAAGUCAGUUGUGAAAGUUUGCGGCUCAACCGUAAAAUUGCAGUUGAAACUGGCAGUCGUGAGUACAGUAGAGGUGGGCGGAAUUCGGGGUGUAGCGGUGAAAUGCUUAGAUAUCACGAAGAACUCCGAUUGCGAAGGCAGCUCACUGGACUGCAACUGACACUGAGGCUCGAAAGUGUGGGUAUCAAACAGGAUUAGAUACCCUAGUAGUC